RNAcentral lists this ribosomal RNA (189 nucleotides) under uncultured bacterium. RNAcentral's name for it is "partial 16S ribosomal RNA". It matches the Rfam family "Bacterial small subunit ribosomal RNA", at positions 1298 to 1500 of the family's 1533-position model. The record is from RNAcentral.
UUGUAGGCUGAAACUCGCCUACAUGAAGCUGGAAUUGCUAGUAAUCACAGGUCAGCAUACUGUGGUGAAUACGUUCCCGGGCCUUGUACGCACCGCCCGUCACACCAUGAGAGUUGAGAAUACCCGAAGCCCAUGUCAAAGUGGUCGAAGGUAGGCUUGAUGAUUGGGGUGAAGUCGUAACAAGGUAUC